AUACUUGCUUGACAGCAUAAACAGCAUGAUCACAAAGUUGGUUUCCCCAAGGCAAAUCUUACCCAUUGCACUGCAAUUGUUCUGACUUCUAUGAUUUUCCCAAGUGUGGGAAACUUGGCUGCUGAAUUUGUGCUUAUGGAAUUAAAAAACAAAAACAAAAAAAAAACCUUGGAGUUCCC
Molecule: small nuclear RNA, 179 nt
Filed under: Sus scrofa (pig)
Lineage: Eukaryota; Metazoa; Chordata; Mammalia; Artiodactyla; Suidae
Also listed under: 1 other name
Description: U1 spliceosomal RNA (multiple genes)
Rfam family: U1 spliceosomal RNA (bases 1-144)
About the family: U1 is a small nuclear RNA (snRNA) component of the spliceosome (involved in pre-mRNA splicing). Its 5' end forms complementary base pairs with the 5' splice junction, thus defining the 5' donor site of an intron. There are significant differences in sequence and secondary structure between metazoan and yeast U1 snRNAs, the latter being much longer (568 nucleotides as compared to 164 nucleotides in human).
Source: RNAcentral